Molecule: ribosomal RNA, 253 nt
Filed under: uncultured bacterium
Lineage: Bacteria
Description: partial 16S ribosomal RNA
Rfam family: Bacterial small subunit ribosomal RNA
Source: RNAcentral
UACGUAUGGUGCAAGCGUUAUCCGGAUUUACUGGGUGUAAAGGGAGCGUAGGCGGCGCGUUAAGUCUGAUGUGAAAACCCGAGGCUCAACCACGGGAGUGCAUUGGAAACUGGCGUGCUGGAGUGCCGGAGAGGUAAGCGGAAUUCCUAGUGUAGCGGUGAAAUGCGUAGAUAUUAGGAGGAACACCAGUGGCGAAGGCGGCUUACUGGACGGCAACUGACGCUGAGGCUCGGAAGCGUGGGGAGCAAACAGG